Molecule: long non-coding RNA, 1679 nt
Organism: Canis lupus familiaris (dog)
Lineage: Eukaryota; Metazoa; Chordata; Mammalia; Carnivora; Canidae
Exons: 3
Source: RefSeq, a predicted model, not a curated record
AUACUUCAAGCCCAUUGCACUAGGUGGUAAAAAUAAAUCCCAUUCAUUUCAGGAUUCAUUUCCUGACAUUUUUGUAGAGUUGCAGCUGAGAACCAGGGGGCGUGCACAGAGCAGAGGCAUUGGGGGGAUGCUGACACUCCAAGACUUGAAACCAAGUAGCAAGCUCCUGGAUUACCACUGAGCCCUGAAAGGAGAGCAAGGGGGGCACAGGAGGAAAUGCUACCCCUUGUUCUUAUGGCCUCCCAGACUUUCCUGAAGACAUUGAGUCUUUUCCUCCCAUCCCCAUCUCAGUGUGGAAAACUGGAGCCAGACCACUGUUUCAGUUCACCAUUGCCUCAUCUGCAUGACUUUCCAGAUUCCUCUUUGGGCCCAGAAAUGUCACAGCCUCUGACCUGUGGUGCAGUCUUUGACCACCGUUGAUGUUCUUGGCCCUCAACACCAUUGUACAAAUCAGAAGGUGACCCUCUGCAUGCAUAUGAAGAGCAAGGCUCAAUUCUGCCAGGAGAGUGGGGCUGGAUUGAAGGUCUGGCUGGCUCCCAAUAUGAGCUUGGGCAAGGAAUCACCUGUACCACUGCUCCUGUAUCUUCCCUGCAGCUACCCAUAGCCCCAGCACCAUCAGCCUGCUGAGAACCAUCCAGACCCCUGAGUGUGCAUCCAGUUCUCAGUGAGUAGAUGACCCCCAGGAACAAAAGUGCGUGGAGCUCUACCUAAAUGACUUGAUGCCCAAGUCCCUGAGGCAUCUAGCCUUUCUCGGUUCACCUGAGGUUCCACCUUGGGGUGAGCCUUCUCCUCCCAGAUUCUUGUCUACCUAUCUACAAGGUUUUCAGGAUAGGAAGUCUCGAGGAGAACCAGGGAGGAGGCUGAGGCUGCUAGUGGUUCAGAAGCAGCCAGCGUGGGGUGUUGUCCUAAUGGUUCCCAUGCUUGACUGAGAUGCCUCCUCUGUGUUCCUAGCUUGGACUCUGCCCCUGAACCCAACAGGAUGAGAGCAGCCUGACUCACGCUCCUGCCCGUGACAGGGAAAUUAUGAAAAACAGCUUGAAUUGUUUCCAGACCUCCUCAUGAAUUCUGUGUAGUAUGACCUUAAAUAUACUAGGUAAGCUGGAAACUUAAAAUAGUUCAGCUCUUAGAAUUUGGUCUUCUCCUUAAGUUGCAUUUCUUAACUGGUAAGGUUUGGGUUUUCUUUGUUAAUAUAAAAAAUAAAUCCAAGGCCAAAAUCCCAUAGAUUUUGAAGUGAAAUCCUCAUAAAAUGGUUUAAUUUGCCAUUAAUAGCCAUCCUGUUGCUAUCUGGCUUAAUAAUUAUUUAGAAGAGUACUUUUGGCUAUUUAUUCAUGAUUUUGUUGUUGACUUCUAUUUUAUUGGAUUGACUGGAAAAUACGGUCUCUGUGGCUGUGAGAUGAAGUAUAUAAUUCACAAUUGUAUAUGCUCUGAGAAUGUAAAAAAAUAAUUCACAUUCUCCAUCGAAUACAAAUGUUUUAAAUAUAUAUAUGUUUGUAAAUAUUUGAAAAGUCUGCUGAUCUUAUUUUUAAUGCACUACGUCUUUACGUGAUUAAAUUAUCUUUAUUGUUCCAGAGGAUUCUGUUUUAUAUAUUUUGAUGCUGUGUGUCUGAUGAAUAAAAAUAUUAACCUCAUUUUGGACUACAGCUUUUAUCAUGAUAUAAUAAGCCCUUUGUCUCAUUUAA